UGGAUCAGUGCACAGCUGUUUCCCUCUAAAGAGUCUCUCACCCUGACUGUGUGCUUCACAUGUCAUUGGACCUCAGCUAUGUACAUUGUAUGGCCUACCUACCCUGUAACUCCAAUACGUUCCCAUGAUAAGGCAAGGCAAGGUUUCUUCUAACCUACCCUGUAACUCCAAUACCUCCCCAUGAUAAGGCAAGGCAAGGUUUCUUCUAACCUACCCUGUAACUCCAAUACGUUCCCAUGAUAAGGCAAGGUUUCUUCUAACCUACCCUGUAACUCCAAUACGUUCCCCAUGAUAAGGCAAGGUUUCUUCUAACCUACCCUGUAACUCCAAUACGUUCCCCAUGAUAAGGCAAGGUUUCUUCUAACCUACCCUGUAACUCCAAUACGUCCCCAUGAUAAGGCAAGGUU
Molecule: long non-coding RNA, 407 nt
Filed under: Salmo salar (Atlantic salmon)
Lineage: Eukaryota; Metazoa; Chordata; Actinopteri; Salmoniformes; Salmonidae
Description: lncRNA (ENSSSAG00000119430.1)
Source: RNAcentral